Molecule: ribosomal RNA, 463 nt
Filed under: uncultured bacterium
Lineage: Bacteria
Description: bacterial SSU rRNA
Rfam family: Bacterial small subunit ribosomal RNA
Source: RNAcentral
CCAGACUCCUACGGGAGGCAGCAGUGAGGAAUAUUGGUCAAUGGGCGCAAGCCUGAACCAGCCAAGUCGCGUGAGGGAAGACGGCCCUACGGGUUGUAAACCUCUUUUGUCGGGGAGCAAAGCGAACCACGUGUGGUUCAUUGAGAGUACCCGAAGAAAAAGCAUCGGCUAACUCCGUGCCAGCAGCCGCGGUAAUACGGAGGAUGCGAGCGUUAUCCGGAUUUAUUGGGUUUAAAGGGUGCGCAGGCGGAGGUGCAAGCCAGCGGUCAAAUGGCGGGGCUCAACCCCGGCCUGCCGUUGAAACUGGCGGCCUCGAGUGGGCGAGAAGUAUGCGGAAUGCGUGGUGUAGCGGUGAAAUGCAUAGAUAUCACGCAGAACUCCGAUUGCGAAGGCAGCAUACCGGCGCCCGACUGACGCUGAGGCACGAAAGCGUGGGUAUCGAACAGGAUUAGAUACCCGAGUA